GGGGAGUUCGAGUCCCAGUAGAACCACCA
This 29-nucleotide unclassified non-coding RNA is filed under the name Dictyostelium discoideum. The record is from RNAcentral. Lineage: Eukaryota; Evosea; Eumycetozoa; Dictyosteliales; Dictyosteliaceae.